RNAcentral lists this ribosomal RNA (569 nucleotides) under uncultured bacterium. RNAcentral describes it as "bacterial SSU rRNA". It matches the Rfam family "Bacterial small subunit ribosomal RNA", at positions 337 to 916 of the family's 1533-position model. The record is from RNAcentral.
UCCUACGGGAGGCAGCAGUGGGGAAUUUUGGACAAUGGGCGAAAGCCUGAUGCAGCGACGCCGCGUGAGGGAUGACGGCCUUCGGGUUGUAAACCUCUUUCAGUAGGGAAGAAGCGAAAGUGACGGUACCUGCAGAAGAAGCGCCGGCUAACUACGUGCCAGCAGCCGCGGUAAUACGUAGGGCGCAAGCGUUAUCCGGAAUUAUUGGGCGUAAAGAGCUCGUAGGCGGUUUGUCGCGUCUGCCGUGAAAGUCCGGGGCUCAACUCCGGAUCUGCGGUGGGUACGGGCAGACUAGAGUGAUGUAGGGGAGACUGGAAUUCCUGGUGUAGCGGUGAAAUGCGCAGAUAUCAGGAGGAACACCGAUGGCGAAGGCAGGUCUCUGGGCAUUAACUGACACUGAGGAGCGAAAGCAUGGGGAGCGAACAGGAUUAGAUACCCUGGUAGUCCAUGCCGUAAACGUUGGGCACUAGGUGUGGGGGACAUUCCACGUUUUCCGCGCCGUAGCUAACGCAUUAAGUGCCCCGCCUGGGGAGUACGGCCGCAAGGCUAAAACUCAAAGGAAUUGACGG